This 253-nucleotide ribosomal RNA is filed under the name uncultured bacterium. Its description in RNAcentral is "partial 16S ribosomal RNA". It matches the Rfam family "Bacterial small subunit ribosomal RNA", at positions 524 to 776 of the family's 1533-position model. The record is from RNAcentral.
GACAGAGGGUGCAAACGUUGUUCGGAAUUACUGGGCGUAAAGCGCGUGUAGGCGGCUCUGCAAGUCGGAUGUGAAAGCCCUGGGCUCAACCUAGGAAGUGCACUCGAAACUGCAGAGCUUGAGUCUCGGAGAGGAUCGCGGAAUUCUCGGUGUAGAGGUGAAAUUCGUAGAUAUCGAGAGGAACACCAGCGGCGAAGGCGGCGCUCUGGGCCGGUACUGACACUGAGGAGCGAAAGCGUGGGGAUCAAACAGG